GCGAAUGUAGUCUAGCCUGGUAGGACUUCAGCCUUCCAAGCUGAAAGCCCGGGUUCAAAUCCCGGCGUUCGCA
This 73-nucleotide transfer RNA is filed under the name Microcaldota archaeon. Its description in RNAcentral is "tRNA-Gly". It matches the Rfam family "tRNA". Rfam says of the family: Transfer RNA (tRNA) molecules are approximately 80 nucleotides in length. Their secondary structure includes four short double-helical elements and three loops (D, anti-codon, and T loops). Further hydrogen bonds mediate the characteristic L-shaped molecular structure. tRNAs have two regions of fundamental functional importance: the anti-codon, which is responsible for specific mRNA codon recognition, and the 3' end, to which the tRNAs corresponding amino acid is attached (by aminoacyl-tRNA synthetases). tRNAs cope with the degeneracy of the genetic code in two manners: having more than one tRNA (with a specific anti-codon) for a particular amino acid; and 'wobble' base-pairing, i.e. permitting non-standard base-pairing at the 3rd anti-codon position. The record is from RNAcentral. Lineage: Archaea; Nanobdellati; Microcaldota.